GUAAUUGUCAUUGCAAUUACCUGAUUUACAUUUCUUAGAACGACAUGCCACAGAUUAGGUGAUGGUGGUGUCUUCUCUUACUUUGGAAAGCCAGCCUUAAAAACCAAGAGAGCUAUCUUCAAUUUCCAAACAGCAAGGAGGACAUUCUGUGCACCACAGGAACAGUAGUCACACAGCAGACAGGGAACAGCAAGAUUCAUGUCACCAGUGUCAUCGGGUGACGUUAAAUGAAUCUGCAG
Molecule: long non-coding RNA, 239 nt
Organism: Polypterus senegalus (gray bichir)
Lineage: Eukaryota; Metazoa; Chordata; Cladistia; Polypteriformes; Polypteridae
Exons: 3
Source: RefSeq, a predicted model, not a curated record